GCAUACUUAGCUCAGUGGUUAGAGCGUCCGCCUAGUGUUUUGAGGUCGCAGGUUCAAAUCCUGCAGUGUGCA
Molecule: transfer RNA, 72 nt
Filed under: Cronartium ribicola 11-2
Lineage: Eukaryota; Fungi; Basidiomycota; Pucciniomycetes; Pucciniales; Coleosporiaceae
Description: tRNA-Thr (AGT) (tRNA-Thr-AGT-21-1)
Rfam family: tRNA
About the family: Transfer RNA (tRNA) molecules are approximately 80 nucleotides in length. Their secondary structure includes four short double-helical elements and three loops (D, anti-codon, and T loops). Further hydrogen bonds mediate the characteristic L-shaped molecular structure. tRNAs have two regions of fundamental functional importance: the anti-codon, which is responsible for specific mRNA codon recognition, and the 3' end, to which the tRNAs corresponding amino acid is attached (by aminoacyl-tRNA synthetases). tRNAs cope with the degeneracy of the genetic code in two manners: having more than one tRNA (with a specific anti-codon) for a particular amino acid; and 'wobble' base-pairing, i.e. permitting non-standard base-pairing at the 3rd anti-codon position.
Source: RNAcentral